This 836-nucleotide ribosomal RNA is filed under the name Cadophora sp. Its description in RNAcentral is "partial large subunit ribosomal RNA". It matches the Rfam family "Eukaryotic large subunit ribosomal RNA", at positions 83 to 936 of the family's 3401-position model. Lineage: Eukaryota; Fungi; Ascomycota; Leotiomycetes; Helotiales; Ploettnerulaceae. The record is from RNAcentral.
GUAACGGCGAGUGAAGCGGUAACAGCUCAAAUUUGAAAGCUAGCUCUUUUAGGGUUCGCAUUGUAAUUUGUAGAAGAUGCUUCGGGUGUGGCCCCGGUCUAAGUUCCUUGGAACAGGACGUCAUAGAGGGUGAGAAUCCCGUAUGUGACUGGGUGCUUUCGCUCAUGUGAAGCUCUUUCGACGAGUCGAGUUGUUUGGGAAUGCAGCUCAAAAUGGGUGGUAAAUUUCAUCUAAAGCUAAAUAUUGGCCAGAGACCGAUAGCGCACAAGUAGAGUGAUCGAAAGAUGAAAAGCACUUUGGAAAGAGAGUUAAACAGUACGUGAAAUUGUUGAAAGGGAAGCGCUUGCAACCAGACUUGCGCGCUGAUGAUCAUCCGGGCUUCUGCCCGGUGCACUCGUCUGCGCUCAGGCCAGCAUCGGUUUCGGUGGUGGGAUAAAGGCCUUGGGAAUGUAGCUUCUUUCGGGGAGUGUUAUAGCCCUCGGUGCAAUGCCGCCUACCGGGACCGAGGACCGCGCUUCGGCUAGGAUGCUGGCGUAAUGGUUGUAAGCGACCCGUCUUGAAACACGGACCAAGGAGUCUAACAUCUAUGCGAGUGUUUGGGUGUCAAACCCAUACGCGUAAUGAAAGUGAACGGAGGUGAGAACCCUUAAGGGUGCAUCAUCGACCGAUCCUGAUGUCUUCGGAUGGAUUUGAGUAAGAGCAUAGCUGUUGGGACCCGAAAGAUGGUGAACUAUGCGUGAAUAGGGUGAAGCCAGAGGAAACUCUGGUGGAGGCUCGCAGCGGUUCUGACGUGCAAAUCGAUCGUCAAAUUUGCGUAUAGGGGCGAAAGACUAAUC